UUAUAGUUCUCGUGGUUUUGAAUCGGUUUUUAAAAUUUUUUCGAUAUAAAUUUUCUACCUUUGACUAUUUGGACAAAGAUAUGCAAGCCAUACGUGUUAUUCUCGCCCGUGAAAGACGACAAGUAAAUUUAAAAUCUCAAGAAAUGUGGGAAAAGACUUGAAUAUGGAUUUUAUACAAAGGGUAAGAGACAAAUUUGCAUAUUUCAAUUUUUUAAUAUUUAGACUUUACCUUAUUUGACAUGAAAAUGAUAAGCAUAACGAUGAAACUGACACUCUAUUUGUUAAUAAAAACAACUUCCUAUGUAAUACACAUGGUAAAGUGUAAAAUUUCCCACUAUUUCACUAAUUUUAGCAAGCUGUGAUUCAUAAUCGCAAAAUAUUUGGUUACAAACUAAGAAGCUUUGAUCGAUAUUCAGUCACAUAUACGAGGAUUACGACGGUCUUUAAAGUGCGAACUGUCUGGUGUAUUAAUGUUUAAAAGGUUGACUCCUGAGGUCUCGUUUUAUAAACAGACAUAAACCUCAUUUCCAGGAUGGCCUGUUUUCUUACAUGUUUUCUCAGUAAAUAUCACUCUGAAUGAGCAAUGUACCUUUAUAAGUGCACUCAUAGUUCUGAUACCCCUGGUUUAAGUUGAGGAGUUAGGUCACAUUCUUUUGUUUACCUUGAUCAUAUUCAUAUGCUAAUUAUGUUACUGGUGGAUUUUUGUACAACCUACAUAAUUAAUCUACUCUUGUUUGUUGCAGAUUUAUUCCACAAAGACACACUCCUUUCUGGGUGGCAAGUUACAGUACCAAGCUUGGCAAGCCACACAUAUCUUUGGAAACUGAACAUACUGUAUUUUAAUACAUGCUUCCAGAAAUUAUGUCACCUUGGCUAUAUAUAGAGUCUCAUUUUCACGAUUGAGACAUUGGACUUUAACUCAUGCCACAUACAUGAAAAUGAGGCUCCUGUGAUAGCCAAGGUGAAAUACAUUCCGGAAGGGUGUAUUUGACUUUUUUGAAAAAUUAUUGGCA
Paramuricea clavata is the source of this 1013-nucleotide non-coding RNA. Lineage: Eukaryota; Metazoa; Cnidaria; Anthozoa; Malacalcyonacea; Plexauridae. The record is from the annotation of a GenBank genome assembly.